AGUGAACGCUGGCGGUAGGCCUAACACAUGCAAGUCGAACGGCAGCACAGUAAGAGCUUGCUCUUACGGGUGGCGAGUGGCGGACGGGUGAGGAAUACAUCGGAAUCUACUUUUUCGUGGGGGAUAACGUAGGGAAACUUACGCUAAUACCGCAUACGACCUACGGGUGAAAGCAGGGGAUCUUCGGACCUUGCGCGAUUGAAUGAGCCGAUGUGGGAUUAGCUAGUUGGCGGGGUAAAGGCCCACCAAGGCGACGAUCCGUAGCUGGUCUGAGAGGAUGAUCAGCCAAACUGGAACUGAGACACGGUCCAGACCCCCAGGGGAGGCAGGGGGGGGGAAUAUGGGAAAAGGGGGGCAAGCCUGAUCCAGCCAUACCGGGGGGGUGAAGAAGGCCUUCGGGUUGUAAAGCCCUUUUGUUGGGAAAAAAAAGCAGCAGGUUAAUCCCCCGCUGUUCUGACGGUACCAAAAAAAUAAGCACCGGCUAACUUCGU
This 491-nucleotide ribosomal RNA is filed under the name uncultured bacterium. RNAcentral describes it as "partial 16S ribosomal RNA". It matches the Rfam family "Bacterial small subunit ribosomal RNA", at positions 29 to 506 of the family's 1533-position model. The record is from RNAcentral.